GAACGCACCUUGCACUCUUUGGUAUUCCGAAGAGUAUGCUUGUUUGAGUAUCAUUAAAUUCUCAAACCACUACUUGGUUUUAUAUCAAGUCAGUGGCUUUGGAUGUGGAGGUUGCAGGCUUCUUGUAAAGUCUGCUCUUCUUAAAAGCAUUAGUGGUUAUUGAUUCCACUUCUUGGUGUGAUAAUAUCUACGCCUUGUAAGAACGAAUCUAAUGUAGCUGCUCUCAAACCGUCUUUAUUGACAAUUUGAACCAUUUGAUCUCAAAUCAAGUAGGACUACCCGCUGAACUUAAG
This 293-nucleotide unclassified non-coding RNA is filed under the name Calyptella capula. RNAcentral's name for it is "sequence contains 5.8S rRNA gene". Lineage: Eukaryota; Fungi; Basidiomycota; Agaricomycetes; Agaricales; Porotheleaceae. The record is from RNAcentral.